UACGAAGGGUGCAAGCGUUAAUCGGAAUUACUGGGCGUAAAGCGUGCGCAGGCGGCUUUGCAAGACAGAUGUGAAAUCCCCGGGCUCAACCUGGGAACUGCAUUUGUGACUGUAUAGCUAGAGUACGGUAGAGGGGGAUGGAAUUCCGCGUGUAGCAGUGAAAUGCGUAGAUAUGCGGAGGAACACCGAUGGCGAAGGCAAUCCCCUGGACCUGUACUGACGCUCAUGCACGAAAGCGUGGGGAGCAAACAGG
Molecule: ribosomal RNA, 253 nt
Filed under: uncultured bacterium
Lineage: Bacteria
Description: partial 16S ribosomal RNA
Rfam family: Bacterial small subunit ribosomal RNA
Source: RNAcentral